AAUGAAGUCGAGCGGAAGAUGGGAGCUUGCUCCCUGAUGUUAGCGGCGGACGGGUGAGUAACACGUGGGUAACCUGCCUGUAAGACUGGGAUAACUCCGGGAAACCGGGGCUAAUACCGGAUGCUUGUUUGAACCGCAUGGUUCAAACAUAAAAGGUGGCUUCGGCUACCACUUACAGAUGGACCCGCGGCGCAUUAGCUAGUUGGUGAGGUAACGGCUCACCAAGGCAACGAUGCGUAGCCGACCUGAGAGGGUGAUCGGCCACACUGGGACUGAGACACGGCCCAGACUCCUACGGGAGGCAGCAGUAGGGAAUCUUCCGCAAUGGACGAAAGUCUGACGGAGCAACGCCGCGUGAGUGAUGAAGGUUUUCGGAUCGUAAAGCUCUGUUGUUAGGGAAGAACAAGUACCGUUCGAAUAGGGCGGUACCUUGACGGUACCUAACCAGAAAGCCACGGCUAACUACGUGCCAGCAGCCGCGGUAAUACGUAGGUGGCAAGCGUUGUCCGGAAUUAUUGGGCGUAAAGGGCUCGCAGGCGGUUCCUUAAGUCUGAUGUGAAAGCCCCCGGCUCAACCGGGGAGGGUCAUUGGAAACUGGGGAACUUGAGUGCAGAAGAGGAGAGUGGAAUUCCACGUGUAGCGGUGAAAUGCGUAGAGAUGUGGAGGAACACCAGUGGCGAAGGCGACUCUCUGGUCUGUAACUGACGCUGAGGAGCGAAAGCGUGGGGAGCGAACAGGAUUAGAUACCCUGGUAGUCCACGCCGUAAACGAUGAGUGCUAAAUGUUAGGAGGUUUCCGCCCCUUAAUGCUGCAGGUAACAGAUUAAGCACUCCCCGGGGAGUAGGGGCAAGACUCACAACUC
This 862-nucleotide ribosomal RNA is filed under the name Bacillus tequilensis. Its description in RNAcentral is "bacterial SSU rRNA". It matches the Rfam family "Bacterial small subunit ribosomal RNA", at positions 54 to 902 of the family's 1533-position model. Lineage: Bacteria; Bacillati; Bacillota; Bacilli; Caryophanales; Bacillaceae. The record is from RNAcentral.